CUUGAGUCCUGCAGUCCUGAACUCAAGCUUGACUGACUCAAGAGUCCUAAUGAGACGGACUCAGGAAGAGAGUGGUCCUCAGGUCCUUGCCACAAAUGGACAGGGCACCAAAGACAGAUCCUUGAUUAAUAUCUCUGAGAAAGAGACUAAAGUCCAAGGUCUGCCCACAGGCUCCCCUCCCUCAUGCUUUUCUGCACCUCCUUCAGGUCCUACUCAAGAGCAGCUUGGUGCACUAGAGCAUUUUCUAGUAUCUCAUCAGACAGA
Chanos chanos (milkfish) is the source of this 264-nucleotide long non-coding RNA. RefSeq lists it as uncharacterized. The record is from RefSeq and is a predicted model, not a curated record. NCBI's taxonomy places the organism in Eukaryota, Metazoa, Chordata, Actinopteri, Gonorynchiformes, Chanidae. The transcript has 3 exons.